Molecule: ribosomal RNA, 275 nt
Filed under: uncultured bacterium
Lineage: Bacteria
Description: partial 16S ribosomal RNA
Rfam family: Bacterial small subunit ribosomal RNA
Source: RNAcentral
GACGAACGCUGGCGGCGUGCUUAACACAUGCAAGUCGAGCGGUAAGGCCCUUUCGGGGGUACGACGAGCGGCGAACGGGUGAGUAACACGUGGGUGACCUGCCCUCAGCUCUGGGAGUAAGCCUGGGAAACCGGGUCUAAUACUGGAUAUGACUCCAUGACGCAUGUUGUGGGGUGGAAAGCCUUGUGCGGCUGAGGAUGGGCCCGCGGCCUAUCAGCUUGUUGGUGGGGUGGAUGGCCUACCAAGGCGACGACGGGUAGCCGGCCUGAGAGGGC